Molecule: small nuclear RNA, 110 nt
Organism: Cavia porcellus (domestic guinea pig)
Lineage: Eukaryota; Metazoa; Chordata; Mammalia; Rodentia; Caviidae
Source: Rfam
GUAUUGCUCACUUCGGCAACACAUAUACUAAAAUUGGAAUGAUACAGAGGAGAUUAGCAUGGCCCCCACGCUUGAAUGACACACAAAUUUGUGAAAGGUUGCAUAUUUUU